AAGUCGUACGCUGAAGCUAGGGUGUUUUUCAUCUGGGUGGAUGAGUGGCGAACGGGUGAGUAAUACGUGAGUAACCUGCCCUUGACUCUGGGAUAAGCCUGGGAAACUGGGUCUAAUACUGGAUACUACAUACCUUCGCAUGGGGGUGUGUGGAAAGGGUUUUACUGGUUUUGGAUGGGCUCACGGCCUAUCAGCUUGUUGGUGGGGUAAUGGCCUACCAAGGCGACGACGGGUAGCCGGCCUGAGAGGGUGACCGGCCACACUGGGACUGAGACACGGCCCACACUCCUACGGGAGGCAGCAGUGGGGAAUAUUGCACAAUGGGCGAAAGCCUGAUGCAGCGACGCCGCGUGAGGGAUGACGGCCUUCGGGUUGUAAACCUCUUUCAGCACAGAAGAAGCGAAAGUGACGGUACGUGCAGAAGAAGCGCCGGCUAACUACGUGCCAGCAGCCGCGGUAAUACGUAGGGCGCAAGCGUUGUCCGGAAUUAUUGGGCGUAAAGAGCUCGUAGGCGGUUUGUCGCGUCUGCUGUGAAAGCCCGGGGCUUAACCCCGUGGUGUGCAGUGGGUACGGGCAGACUACAGUGCAGUAGGGGAGACUGGAAUUCCUGGUGUAGCGGUGAAAUGCUCACAUAUCAAGAGGAACACCGAUGGCGAAGGCAGGUCUCUGGGCUGUUACUGACGCUGAGGAGCGAAAGCAUGGGGAGCGAACAGGAUUAGAUACCCUGGUAGUCCAUGCCGUAAACGUUGGGCACUAGGGUGUGGGGGAACAUUCCACGUUUUUCCGCGCCGUANCUAAUACAUUAA
This 806-nucleotide ribosomal RNA is filed under the name Kocuria gwangalliensis. RNAcentral describes it as "bacterial SSU rRNA". It matches the Rfam family "Bacterial small subunit ribosomal RNA", at positions 59 to 863 of the family's 1533-position model. Lineage: Bacteria; Bacillati; Actinomycetota; Actinomycetes; Micrococcales; Micrococcaceae. The record is from RNAcentral.